AUGAAAGAAGUGGUAAGAAAGGAAAUACUAAAGCUCCUUGAGGCAGGUAUAAUUUAUCCCGUUGCUGAUAGUCAGUGGGUAAGUCCUAUCCGUUGUGACCCUAAGAAGGGAGGUAUUACUGUCGUUCCUAAUGAUAAAGAUGAAUUGAUUCCUCAAAGAAUUAUUACAGGUUAUAGGAUGGUAAUUGAUUUCCGCAAAUUAAAUAAGGCCACUAAAAAGGAUCAUUACCCCUUACCUUUUAUCGAUCAAAUGCUAGAAAGAUUAUCCAAACAUACACAUUUUUGCUUUCUGGAUGGUUAUUCUGGUUUCUCUCAAAUACCUGUGUCAGCCAAGGAUCAGUCAAAGACUACUUUUACUUGCCCUUUUGGUACUUUUGCUUAUAGACGUAUGCCUUUUGGUUUAUGUAAUGCACCUGCCACCUUUCAAAGAUGCAUGAUGGCUAUAUUCUCUGACUUCUGUGAAAAGAUUUGUGAGAUUUUCAUGGACGAUUUCUCCGUCUAUGGAUCUUCUUUUGAUGAUUGCUUGAGCAACCUUGAUUGA
RNAcentral lists this ribosomal RNA (540 nucleotides) under Triticum aestivum (bread wheat). RNAcentral describes it as "partial small subunit ribosomal RNA". The record is from RNAcentral. Lineage: Eukaryota; Viridiplantae; Streptophyta; Magnoliopsida; Poales; Poaceae.